GACGAACGCUGGCGGCGUGCCUAACACAUGCAAGUCGAGCGAGUGGAGUUCUUCGGAACAAAGCUAGCGGCGGACGGGUGAGUAACACGUGGGCAACCUGCCUCAUAGAGGGGAAUAGCCUCCCGAAAGGGAGAUUAAUACCGCAUAAGAUUGUAGCAUCGCAUGAAGUAGCAAUUAAAGGAGCAAUCCGCUAUGAGAUGGGCCCGCGGCGCAUUAGCUAGUUGGUGAGGUAACGGCUCACCAAGGCGACGAUGCGUAGCCGACCUGAGAGGGUGAUCGGCCACAUUGGGACUGAGACACGGCCCAGACUCCUACGGGAGGCAGCAGUGGGGAAUAUUGCACAAUGGGGGAAACCCUGAUGCAGCAACGCCGCGUGAGUGAUGACGGCCUUCGGGUUGUAAAGCUCUGUCUUCAGGGACGAUAAUGACGGUACCUGAGGAGGAAGCCACGGCUAACUACGUGCCAGCCGCCGCAGUAA
This 478-nucleotide ribosomal RNA is filed under the name uncultured bacterium. RNAcentral describes it as "partial 16S ribosomal RNA". It matches the Rfam family "Bacterial small subunit ribosomal RNA", at positions 28 to 523 of the family's 1533-position model. The record is from RNAcentral.